This 490-nucleotide ribosomal RNA is filed under the name uncultured bacterium. RNAcentral's name for it is "partial 16S ribosomal RNA". It matches the Rfam family "Bacterial small subunit ribosomal RNA", at positions 30 to 507 of the family's 1533-position model. The record is from RNAcentral.
AUUGAACGCUGGCGGCAGGCCUAACACAUGCAGGUCGAACGGUAACAGGAAGCAGCUUGCUGCUUCGCUGACGAGUGGCGGACGGGUGAGUAAUGUCUGGGAAACUGCCUGAUGGAGGGGGAUAACUACUGGAAACGGUAGCUAAUACCGCAUAACGUCGCAAGACCAAAGAGGGGGACCUUAGGGCCUCUUGCCAUCGGAUGUGCCCAGAUGGGAUUAGCUAGUAGGUGGGGUAACGGCUCACCUAGGCGACGAUCCCUAGCUGGUCUGAGAGGAUGACCAGCCACACUGGAACUGAGCCACGGUCCAGACUCCUACGGGAGGCAGCAGUGGGGAAUAUUGCACAAUGGGCGCAAGCCUGAUGCAGCCAUGCCGCGUGUAUGAAGAAGGCCUUCGGGUUGUAAAGUACUUUCAGCGGGGAGGAAGGGAGUAAAGUUAAUACCUUUGCUCAUUGACGUUACCCGCAGAAGAAGCACCGGCUAACUCCGUG